UGAACCUGCGGAGGGAUCAUUACACAAAUAUGAAGGCGGGCUGGAAUCUCUCGGGGUUACAGCCUUGCUGAAUUAUUCACCCUUGUCUUUUGCGUACUUCUUGUUUCCUUGGUGGGUUCGCCCACCACUAGGACAAACAUAAACCUUUUGUAAUUGCAAUCAGCGUCAGUAACAAAUUAAUAAUUACAACUUUCAACAACGGAUCUCUUGGUUCUGGCAUCGAUGAAGAACGCAGCGAAAUGCGAUAAGUAGUGUGAAUUGCAGAAUUCAGUGAAUCAUCGAAUCUUUGAACGCACAUUGCGCCCUUUGGUAUUCCAAAGGGCAUGCCUGUUCGAGCGUCAUUUGUACCCUCAAGCUUUGCUUGGUGUUGGGCGUCUUGUCUCUAGCUUUGCUGGAGACUCGCCUUAAAGUAAUUGGCAGCCGGCCUACUGGUUUCGGAGCGCAGCACAAGUCGCACUCUCUAUCAGCAAAGGUCUAGCAUCCAUUAAGCCUUUUUUCAACUUUUGACCUCGGAUCAGGUAGGGAUACCCGCUGAACUUAAGCAUAU
Molecule: ribosomal RNA, 547 nt
Filed under: Alternaria alternata
Lineage: Eukaryota; Fungi; Ascomycota; Dothideomycetes; Pleosporales; Pleosporaceae
Description: eukaryotic LSU rRNA
Rfam family: 5.8S ribosomal RNA (bases 188-341)
Source: RNAcentral